Molecule: unclassified non-coding RNA, 138 nt
Filed under: soil metagenome
Description: partial internal transcribed spacer 1
Source: RNAcentral
CCUAGAGUUGUAGGCUUUGCCUGCUAUCUCUACCCAAUGUCUUUUGAGUACCUUCGUUUCCUCGGCGGGUCCCGCCCGCCGAUUGGACAAUUUAAACCAUUUGCAGUUGCAAUCAGCGUCUGAAAAACUUAAUAGUUA